Molecule: transfer RNA, 69 nt
Filed under: Siphonops annulatus
Lineage: Eukaryota; Metazoa; Chordata; Amphibia; Gymnophiona; Siphonopidae
Description: tRNA-Arg
Rfam family: tRNA
About the family: Transfer RNA (tRNA) molecules are approximately 80 nucleotides in length.
Source: RNAcentral
AAGAGAUUAGUCUAAAAUAAGACAACUGAUUUCGACUCAGUCAAUUGUAAAUUCUAUUGCAAUCUCUUU